Non-coding RNA from Nicotiana tabacum (common tobacco), 492 nucleotides. NCBI's taxonomy places the organism in Eukaryota, Viridiplantae, Streptophyta, Magnoliopsida, Solanales, Solanaceae. The record is from RefSeq and is a predicted model, not a curated record.
UACACCAAUAUAUAUAGAGACUUAUCUUUAGCUUAGUUUUGUUUCUGUUAGUGAAUUUCAUGGCUUUCUAUUUUCAGCUCCACUAUUACUACUACAUAUACGUGUUUUGCUUAAUGCCUAAAUAAUCUCAUUUAUAAGAGUCCUUAUUCGUUGAAGUUUUACCUUUGCAGAGUCGGUAAUGGUGGGACAAAAAAUGGAUAUCACUGUAUCGUGUGGACAACCUGCUAAGAGCCCAUGACUAAUUCUAAGAAACACUCAUACUUCAUCGCAGUUUUACAGCAAAUGAAGACCAAUAAUUCACAUUUUCUAUUAAGGGACACAUAAAAAUUACAGGUAUUUAAGGGUCAUCUAAGAAUUUAUGAAUCGGGAUGAAGAACGAAGUAGAGGAAGAACGUAGAGAAUCAGUUGAGCAAAUUCAAAAGAAGAUGAUGGAGAUCCUUAUGAUGAACUGUAGAAUAUUUUUAUUUUUUUCUCAACCAGACUAUAAAAAUA